UAGCAUACGCUUGUCUCAAAGAUUAAGCCAUGCAUGUCUAAGUAUAAACAAAUCUAUACUGUGAAACUGCGAAUGGCUCAUUAUAUCAGUUAUAGUUUAUUUGAAGGUCCUUGCUACUUGGAUAACCGUAGUAAUUCUAGAGCUAAUACAUGCAUCAAACCCCGACUUUUGGAAGGGGUGUAUUUAUUAGAUGGAAACCAAUGCGGGGCAACCCGGUAAAUGGUGAUUCAUAAUAACUUUCGGAUCGGUCUUCGGAUCGAUGCUUCAUUCAAGUUU
Molecule: ribosomal RNA, 276 nt
Filed under: uncultured eukaryote
Lineage: Eukaryota
Description: partial 18S ribosomal RNA
Rfam family: Eukaryotic small subunit ribosomal RNA
Source: RNAcentral